UGACACACAGGUGAAGUAUCACUGGUAACGUAUGUUCUGCUAUUUUGAUUGAACUCGAUUCAAUCUGCAUUAUUGUCCGAAAGAGGUUUGAGGGUGUCGUCUGUAAUUAUUACAAAAUCAUGGACAUUGAAUUAAGAUAUAGAUGCAUGCUAACAUUUAUUUUUAAAAAUCAUUUCAUAUUUAUAAUGUAUUCUCACAUAUUUUCUAGCAAGGUCAAUUUGUAAAAAAAGGCAAAGGACUCUCUUUGUGCUAAUGUCACGUGAAUCAGGUUUCAGACCAACUGCACUCGGCCGUUAAUUAAAAACUGCGUGACUUAUUAUGUUCUGAUGUAUUUGAGGCUCCAGCUGGCGACACCGUAAACAACGGAGAAUGUCCUCUAGACUUUGGGUUCGUCUGAGAUCGGCAAAGAAUAAACGUAAUGAUGCUGUCAUCAAAGCAGUGCCUUUGGGAAAUCCCCCUGAAGUCCGGGGAGUCGAUGAGAGCGGGGCGAAGAGAGACUCGGCCGAGGAGCAGCAAUUAGCCUCGGGACGCAGAGCUGCACGUCUGCCGACGCACAACCGCCGACGCACAACCGCCGACGGGAGCGGAUGGACUGGGGACGAGUCUGAGGGAGAGCCUCUGCUCAUUAGACAACAGCACAGCGGCUUCAGAGGCCCCUGGCGGGCACAGGAGCCCGGGAGGAACCGGCACAGCAGGCUGCCAAUAUAAAUACACACUAGAUGGACGUGGUUUGCGCGUGGCGGGGUGUUUGUGUACACAUGCGUGGGUGGAUGGAUGUGUGUGUGUGUGUGUGUGUAUGAACAUGCGAGUCCAUCCGUACCCUGUGUGCACUCAGACGUGAUGAGCCACUCGUCUGCCAUUGUGGGUCAUUAGUGUUAGUGAAGCGAAAGGUAAAAACACAUCUACAGCGGGAUAAUCGGGAAGAGGAGCACGUGGAGUUUGCGUAUGUGUGUGUGUUAUUCCCUUUUUUUCCCCUGAGGGGUUAUUUGGGAGUUUUUCCUGAUCCGAUGCGAGGUUUUGGGGCAGGGAUGUCUAUGUGUACAGAUUGUAAAGCACUCCGAGACAAAUUUGUAAUUUGUGAAAUUGGGCUAUACAAAUAAACUGAAUUGAAUUUA
Long non-coding RNA from Pseudoliparis swirei, 1115 nucleotides. RefSeq lists it as uncharacterized. The record is from RefSeq and is a predicted model, not a curated record. Lineage: Eukaryota; Metazoa; Chordata; Actinopteri; Perciformes; Liparidae. The transcript has 2 exons.